RNAcentral lists this ribosomal RNA (1360 nucleotides) under uncultured bacterium. RNAcentral describes it as "16S ribosomal RNA". It matches the Rfam family "Bacterial small subunit ribosomal RNA". The record is from RNAcentral.
AGAGUUUGAUCCUGGCUCAGGAUGAACUUUGGCGGCGUGCCUAAUACAUGCAAGUCGAACGGAGAUUGUAGCAAUACGGUCUCAGUGGCGAACGGGUGACUAACGCGUUGGUGACCUGCCCCGAAGUGAGGAAUAACAGAUCGAAAGAACUGCUAAUACCCCAUAAUGUCCAGGAGAUUAGAUGCUUCUGGAUUAAAGGAUUUAUCCGCUUCGGGAGGGACCUGCGUCCCAUCAGCUAGUUGGUAAGGUAAAGGCUUACCAAGGCGAUGACGGGUAGGGGACCUGAGAGGGUGGCCCCCCACAAUGGAACUGAAACACCGCCCAUACACCUACGGGUGGCAGCAAUAGGGAAUAUUAGUAAUGGGCGAAAGCCUGAUCUAGCAACGCCGCGUGUGCGAAGAAGGCCUUCGGGUUGUAAAGCACUUUUUGAGAGGAUGAGGGAGGACGGUACUCUCAGAAUAAGUCUCGGCUAACUACGUGCCAGCAGCCGCGGUAACACGUAGGAGGCGAACGUUAUCCGGAUUUAUUGGGCGUAAAGCGCGUGUAGGUGGUUUGGUAAGUAGGGAGUGAAAUCUCCUGGCUCAACUGGGAGAGGGCCGUUCUAAACUGCUGAAAUAGAGGAUGGUAGAGGGAGGUGGAAUUCCGGGUGUAGCGGUGGAAUGCGCAGAUAUCCGGAGGAACACCAGUGGCGAAAGCGGCCUCCUGGACCAUUCCUGACACUCAGACGCGAAAGCUAGGGUAGCAAACGGGAUUAGAGACCCCGGUAGUCCUAGCCCUAAACGAUGUAGACUAGGCGUCGGUGGUUUAAACGCCAUCGGUGUCCAAGCUAACGCGAUAAGUCUACCGCCUGGGGACUACGGCCGCAAGGUUAAAACUCAAAGGAAUUGACGGGUCCCCGCACAAGCAGCGGAGCGUGUGGUUUAAUUCGUUGCUACACGAAGAACCUUACCUGGGUUUGACAUAGCAGUGGUAGGGAAGCGAAAGCGGACCGACCCUUCGGGGAGCUGUUACAGGUGUUGCAUGGCUGUCGUCAGCUCGUGUCGUGAGAUGUUCGGUUAAGUCCGCUAACGAGCGCAACCCUCGCUGUGUGCUACAAGUGUCACACGGUACUGCCGGUAUUAAGUCGGAGGAAGGUGGGGAUGACGUCAAGUCAGCAUGACCUUUAUAUCCAGGGCUACACACACGCUACAAUGGUCAGUACAAUAGGUUGCCAAGCCGCGAGGCGGAGCCAAUCCUAAAAGCAGGCCUCAGUUCAGAUUGCAGUCUGCAACCCGACUGCAUGAAGAUGGAGUUGCUAGUAACCGCAGGUCAGCUAUACUGCGGUGAAUACGUUCCCGGGUCUUGUACUCACAGCCCGUCA